UACGUAGGCAGCAAGCGUUGUUCGGAAUUACUGGGCGUAAAGAGUGUGUAGGCGGUGUUCUAAGUCUGUCGUGAAAUCUCCCGGCUUAACUGGGAGGGUGCGGCGGAAACUGGAAUGCUAGAGGAUGGGAGAGGUAAGCGGAAUUCCUGGUGUAGCGGUGAAAUGCGUAGAUAUCAGGAGGAACACCUGUGGUGUAGACAGCUUACUGGACCAUUUCUGACGCUGAGACACGAAAGCGUGGGUAGCAAACAGG
RNAcentral lists this ribosomal RNA (253 nucleotides) under uncultured bacterium. RNAcentral's name for it is "partial 16S ribosomal RNA". It matches the Rfam family "Bacterial small subunit ribosomal RNA", at positions 524 to 776 of the family's 1533-position model. The record is from RNAcentral.